RNAcentral lists this ribosomal RNA (469 nucleotides) under Pantoea agglomerans. Its description in RNAcentral is "bacterial SSU rRNA". It matches the Rfam family "Bacterial small subunit ribosomal RNA", at positions 30 to 488 of the family's 1533-position model. The record is from RNAcentral. Lineage: Bacteria; Pseudomonadati; Pseudomonadota; Gammaproteobacteria; Enterobacterales; Erwiniaceae.
AUUGAACGCUGGCGGCAGGCCUAACACAUGCAAGUCGGACGGUAGCACAGAGAGCUUGCUCUUGGGUGACGAGUGGCGGACGGGUGAGUAAUGUCUGGGGAUCUGCCCGAUAGAGGGGGAUAACCACUGGAAACGGUGGCUAAUACCGCAUAACGUCGCAAGACCAAAGAGGGGGACCUUCGGGCCUCUCACUAUCGGAUGAACCCAGAUGGGAUUAGCUAGUAGGCGGGGUAAUGGCCCACCUAGGCGACGAUCCCUAGCUGGUCUGAGAGGAUGACCAGCCACACUGGAACUGAGACACGGUCCAGACUCCUACGGGAGGCAGCAGUGGGGAAUAUUGCACAAUGGGCGCAAGCCUGAUGCAGCCAUGCCGCGUGUAUGAAGAAGGCCUUCGGGUUGUAAAGUACUUUCAGCGGGGAGGAAGGCGAUGGGGUUAAUAACCCCGUCGAUUGACGUUACCCGCAGAAGA